RNAcentral lists this ribosomal RNA (254 nucleotides) under uncultured bacterium. RNAcentral describes it as "partial 16S ribosomal RNA". It matches the Rfam family "Bacterial small subunit ribosomal RNA", at positions 524 to 776 of the family's 1533-position model. The record is from RNAcentral.
UACGUAGGGUGCGAGCGUUAAUCGGAAUUACUGGGCGUAAAGCGUGCGCAGGCGGUUAUUUAAGUCAGGUGGGAAAGCCCUGGGCUUAACCUAGGAAUUGCGCUUGAGACUGGAUAGCUUGGAGUGCGGCAGAGGGAGGUGGAAUUCCACGUGUAGCAGUGAAAUGCGUAGAUAUCUGGAGGAAUACCGGUGGCGAAGGCGGCAUCCUGGACCGACAUUGACGCUGAGGAGCGAAAGCUAGGGGAGCAAACGGG